CAGUAUGUGUGUUAGUGGAAGCGUCUGGAAAGGCGCGCGAUACAGGGUGACAGCCCCGUACACAAAAAUGCACAUGCUGUGAGCUCGAUGAGUAGGGCGGGACACGUGGUAUCCUGUCUGAAUAUGGGGGGACCAUCCUCCAAGGCUAAAUACUCCUGACUGACCGAUAGUGAACCAGUACCGUGAGGGAAAGGCGAAAAGAACCCCGGCGAGGGGAGUGAAAAAGAACCUGAAACCGUGUACGUACAAGCAGUGGGAGCACGCUUAGGCGUGUGACUGCGUACCUUUUGUAUAAUGGGUCAGCGACUUAUAUUCUGUAGCAAGGUUAACCGAAUAGGGGAGCCGAAGGGAAACCGAGUCUUAACUGGGCGUUAAGUUGCAGGGUAUAGACCCGAAACCCGGUGAUCUAGCCAUGGGCAGGUUGAAGGUUGGGUAACACUAACUGGAGGACCGAACCGACUAAUGUUGAAAAAUUAGCGGAUGACUUGUGGCUGGGGGUGAAAGGCCAAUCAAACCGGGAGAUAGCUGGUUCUCCCCGAAAGCUAUUUAGGUAGCGCCUCGUGAAUUCAUCUCCGGGGGUAGAGCACUGUUUCGGCAAGGGGGUCAUCCCGACUUACCAACCCGAUGCAAACUGCGAAUACCGGAGAAUGUUAUCACGGGAGACACACGGCGGGUGCUAACGUCCGUCGUGAAGAGGGAAACAACCCAGACCGCCAGCUAAGGUCCCAAAGUCAUGGUUAAGUGGGAAACGAUGUGGGAAGGCCCAGACAGCCAGGAUGUUGGCUUAGAAGCAGCCAUCAUUUAAAGAAAGCGUAAUAGCUCACUGGUCGAGUCGGCCUGCGCGGAAGAUGUAACGGGGCUAAACCAUGCACCGAAGCUGCGGCAGCGACGCUGAUGCGUUGUUGGGUAGGGGAGCGUUCUGUAAGCCUGCGAAGGUGUGCUGUGAGGCAUGCUG
RNAcentral lists this ribosomal RNA (955 nucleotides) under Escherichia coli. RNAcentral's name for it is "partial 23S ribosomal RNA". It matches the Rfam family "Bacterial large subunit ribosomal RNA", at positions 318 to 1275 of the family's 2925-position model. Lineage: Bacteria; Pseudomonadati; Pseudomonadota; Gammaproteobacteria; Enterobacterales; Enterobacteriaceae. The record is from RNAcentral.